UGGUGGAGUGAUUUGUCUGGUUAAUUCCGUUAACGAACGAGACCUCAGCCUGCUAAAUAGUCGGGCGAACAUUCGUGUUCGUGCUACGACUUCUUAGAGGGACUGUCUGUUUCUAGCAGAAGGAAGUUUGAGGCAAUAACA
Molecule: ribosomal RNA, 141 nt
Filed under: uncultured eukaryote
Lineage: Eukaryota
Description: partial 18S ribosomal RNA
Rfam family: Eukaryotic small subunit ribosomal RNA
Source: RNAcentral